Molecule: long non-coding RNA, 322 nt
Organism: Columba livia (rock pigeon)
Lineage: Eukaryota; Metazoa; Chordata; Aves; Columbiformes; Columbidae
Exons: 3
Source: RefSeq, a predicted model, not a curated record
GAGCACCAAAUCUUUUCAGUCCCUCUCAAGGCCGAUGCACAUUUCUCUCAAACGACCCUUGUUCCCACAGGUCCCUGAUGUGACUGAGGAGCCUGGGCCAGCCCAUAAGGCGAAGCCAUCCCGCCCCAUGACGCUGCAGGCCCGAACCUGCCCCGCAGCUGUUCUGCGGUCCCAGCUGAGGCACGGGAGCGAGGCCCAGCGUGUGGCAACCCUGAGCCUGCUGGGAGAGCUGGCCCGCUCUGACGCUCCUGUAGCAAGGAAGAAGCUGCCCCAGGUGGUGGCAGCUGUGCAGCUGGUGUGCAACGACCCCAGCGCCCAGGUG